CAAAGAUUUCAAUACAAGUUCAAGUUCUUUUUUUCCCUCUUUCAUCUAAGUGCAAUUUCCCCUUCCACAAGAUUUUCAUUCCAACACAAAAUGCAUUGAAUGUUCUUUGCAGAUCCCUCUUGGGCUUGUAUUGGCCAGCCCUCCUUUCAACUAUCAUGUAAACAUGGUAGUCUCCAAGAUUGCUCCUGCACUAAUCGCUGGCAACUCUUUGGUACUCAAUUGAGACUAUACGCUCGCCCUCAGCGCCCCCGUCAACUCAUCCCAGAGUCAACACGGAGGAGGUAGAUCAACUCCUUGGUACUCAAGCCCCAUACUCAGGGCACUGUGGCUGCUCUUCACAUGCACUGCUUUCACCUUGCUGGGUUCCCGGAGGGCCUCAUCAGCUGUAUCACUGGCAAAGGUUCAUAAAUCGGUGAUUUCCUAACAAUGCCACCUGGAGUAAAUUGCAUCAGGUAUCGGCAACAUGUUUGGCAUUUCUAGCUUGGAUGAAUCAAAUAGCGAUUGAUUUUCUGUGCUGCACGAUACUGCUUCAUUGGAGGUGAUAUUGACAUUGCCAUCUCAAAGAAAGCCGGAAUCAUCCCUCUGCAGAUGGAGCUCGGUGGGAAGGUAAAUUUUUCUGUGCUGCACGAUACUGCUUCAUUGGAGGUGAUAUCUUCAUUGGAGUCAGGAACUAUUCAAAUAAAUUCAACGCCAGCCCGAGGGCCUGAUCAUUUUCCCUUCCAGGGUCUGAAAGACAGUGGCAUUGGUUCGCAAGGGAUAACCAACAACAUCAAUAUAAUGACGAUGAUCAAAAGCACUGUGAUCAACCAACCAUCUCCAUCCUACACUAUGGGUUGAAAGUUGAAACCAAGAGCUAGUAGAUUUGACUUGUUAAAUGAUAUAAUAAAAUUUU
Molecule: long non-coding RNA, 892 nt
Organism: Zingiber officinale
Lineage: Eukaryota; Viridiplantae; Streptophyta; Magnoliopsida; Zingiberales; Zingiberaceae
Exons: 3
Source: RefSeq, a predicted model, not a curated record